GGGGGGGGGGGGGGGGGGGGGGGGGGGGGGGGGGGGGGGGGGGGGGGGGGGGUGGUGGUAGCGAGUGGAGGAGCGGGGAGCGGGUGGGUAGCGCGUGGGGAGUCUGCCGUGGAGCGGGGGACAACAUUUGGGAAGGAAUGGGAAGCCGGCGUAAAACGUUUAAACCCAGUUUUUAAGUUGGAAGGGUGCAAUGCCAUCCCUCAAGGAUGAUCCCGCGGUGUAUUAGCUGGUUGGUUAGGUAAAGGCUCACCAAGGCGAGGAUACAUAGCCGACCUGAGAGGGUGAGCGGCCACAUUGGGACUGAGACACGGCCCAAACUCCUACGGGAGGCAGCAGUAGGGAAUCUUCGGCAAUGGACGAAAGUCUGACCGAGCAACGCCGCGUGAGUGAAGAAGGUUUUCGGAUCGUAAAACUCUGUUGGUAGAGAAGAACGUUGGUGAGAGUGGAAAGCUCAUCAAGUGACGGUAACUACCCAGAAAGGGACGGCUAACUACGUG
RNAcentral lists this ribosomal RNA (497 nucleotides) under uncultured bacterium. Its description in RNAcentral is "partial 16S ribosomal RNA". It matches the Rfam family "Bacterial small subunit ribosomal RNA", at positions 38 to 507 of the family's 1533-position model. The record is from RNAcentral.